ACUCGUGAGACCUAUGUAUCCUAGGCUCUGAUACCACUUGUCACUACCCUAAACCCAGACUCGGUCGUGAUGGCGCCUCUCGUGAAGACAAGACUAGCCGACACAACAACCAAUUCAUUUUUAAGCAAUUAAAAGGGCACAAUAACAUAAUUUAAUCCCAAAUAAACAGUGAAAUAGUAAAAGUUGCGGAAAAACCAAUACAGCCCGACAUCGGGGUAUCACCAAUCAUGAGCAUCUAACAUAGUCUAGGAAUACAGAAAAGGGACUACACAGUCUAGUACCAAAUCCAAUACACGGGAAAGAAAUAAUGACAAGAGGGAGAAAACACUGGGUUGCGAUCGCCGAGCAGCUACCUAGUGGACUCCGAAAUCUGCUGGAAGCUAUCAACCCUCGCUAGCAGAACCUGGAGCUCCUGAAUCUGCACACAGGGUGCAGGGAGUAAAGUGAGUACUCCAACUCAGUAAAGUGAGUAAUAAUAAUAAAUAAAAACUGAGUGAUAAGAAAUCACGUAAAGGACACAACAAUAUGCUAUAAAGAAGUAGAGUAAAACCAAAUAAACGCAAUAAAAUAGUGAAAUCUUAUAAAACACCUUGAUUCAGAAUAAGCUUCUUUAAAAUACCUUUUCAACAGUUAAACAAGUGAAUGAAAAGCAACUAGAAAAGAUAAACACAUAAAAAUCAGCCCCUCGGGCAAUAACAUGGGACAACACCAGCCCCUCGGGCUAUACCUCAUAUCACAAUGGGUACCCGCGCUCACUGGUGGUGUACAGACUCCGGGAGGGGCACCUUACGCCAAGCGCAAUAUCAAGUCAUCUCGUGGUAUAAUCAAUAGGCUCUCAGCCUCAUAUCAAUAAGCCACCUCGUGGCGUACAAUCUCAGGCCCUCGGCCUCAUAAUCAUAAAUCAGUGUAUAUCUGCUACGACGUGCAGCCCGACCUAAAAGUAUCCUCACAACACAGGCCCUCGACCUUACACAGUCAGAAAUCUCUAAAAGCCACUCAAGCACAGUAAAAUAUGAUGCUCAACCCAAAAUAUCAUUUAAAGUAUUAAAACAGAGUAAACAUGACUGAGUUAUGAAAACAAUAUAAUAUAGCAUGACUAAGUACAGAUAUAAAAUCAAAACAAUGAGGAAAUAGUAGUAAAAAUCCCCUAAGGGUCCAAAUAGUUGGCACGAGGCCAAAUAUGGCAUUCAGCCCAAAACAUGAUGAUAACAAAUAAUUUUCAAUUAAAUACGCGGUAAAACAGUCAUUCAGGAUGGACUAAGUCACAAUCCCCAACGGUGCACGACCCCACGCUCGUCAUUUAGUGUUUGCGUCACCUCAAUAUAGUACAACGAUGUGAAAUUUGGGGUUUCAUACCCUCAGGAAAAUAUUUAUAAUCAUUAUUCACCUCGAUUCGGUCCAAACUCUAGCCCGCGAUGCCUUUGCCCCUCGAAUCGGCCCAACUCGUGUCGAAUCUAUCCAAAAUCAAAAUCAUGACGUCAAAAUAUGCUAAGGGAACGAAGCCCAUGCGAAAAUAAUCAAUGUACAACAUAAAUCCCGAAAUUAACCAAAACUCGACCCCCGGGCCCACGUCUCGGAAUUCGAUAAAAUUUACAUCAAUUGAUUCCUUAUCUCUCCACGAAUUCAUACAUACCAAAAGUCCCAAAAUCCGACCACAAAUGCCCCUUCAAAUCCUCAAGUCAAGGACUCCAAUACCAAGCCCUACUUUUCCAAAUUUCAAUCCUUAAUUUCCAUAAAUUACAAGCCUAAUCCGUAAAAUAAUGCCAUAAGAUCGAUUAUUAGGUUAAAAAAUCUUACCUCCAAACUUUAUUCCUUGAAUCCCUCUUCAAAAUAGCUUCCCCAAGCUCAAACAUGAAUAAACCUUUUAUACCUUCUGGUCUUGGCUUCUAGCACCUGUGGUCCAAAUCUUGCUUCUAUGGUCCAAGACGCCGCAUCUGCGAUCCUCACUUAAAUCCCAAGAUCCGCAUAUGCGAUGCAAAUCCCACACCUGCGCUACCACAGGUGCGCCUACCUAGCCACGUUUGUGGCUCCAGCUCUCCUUGGCCCCUUCCGCUUCUACGACUCUUUUCCGCAUCUGUGAGGGUCGCACCUGCGGCCUCCCAACUGCAGAUGCGGUUACGACAUCAGUCCUACCACUUCAGCUGCCAUUUCCAAAUUCCUAUCUUUCUAUCAACCAUCCGAAAUCACCCCGAGUCCUCCGGGACCUCAACCAAAAGCACAAACGAGUCACAUACCACCAUCCAAACUUAUACCAAUCUUGAAAACACCUCAAAAAAUAUCGAAUCAACCAAAACACAUCGAAUUCAAGCCUAAAGUUCCAAAAAUCUUUCGAAUUACACUUUUGAUCAAAAAAUCUAUCAAACCACAUCCGAAUGACCUAAAAUUUUGCACACAUAUCCCAAAUGACACAACAGACCUACUGCAACUUCCGGAAUUCCAUUCCGACCCCUAUAUCAAAAUAUCACCUAUCAACCGAAAACGCCAAAUUUCCAAUUUCGUCAAUUCAAGCCUAAAUCUACUCCGGACCUCCAAAACACGUUCCGAUCAUACUCCUAAGUUCCAAAUCACCUCCCAAAGUUAUUCGAACCAUCAGAAUUCAUAUCCAAGCCCUCUAACACAUAAGUUAACAUCCGGUUGGCCUUUUCAACUUAAGCUUCCUCAAAAGAGACUAAGUGUCUCAAACCUUAUCAAAACCUUUCCGAACCCGAGCCAACCAACCUGAUCAUACAUAGAACCAAUAAAUAAAGCAAUAAAAAGUAGAAAUGGGGAAAACGGAGCGGUAACUCAUGAAAUGACCGGCCGGUUCGUUACACAUUUAGAUGAUUGUUGUAUUAUUAUUAUUAUUAUUAUAUAUGAUUUCUCUCAUUAAUUAAUUUUCUUUCUUUCUUCAUAUAAAUGUCACACCUCCUUUUUCCCGAGGGGAUAGAGAGUUUUUCCAAUAAAAGAGACAUUAAUUGAAAUGAUAUUAUUUAUUUUGAUUCAAAAUCGCCACUUGGGAUAUUUAUGGUGUCCCAAGUUACCGGUUUAUUUAAAAUCCCAAAUCGAGGAAAUAAAAGACUCUAUUUUGGUCCGCGAACACGGAAGAUGGGGUAAAAAAUUCUGGUAACCCGUGAGAAGGCGUGAGGCACUCCCGAAUUUCGUGAUUUUAGCACGGUCGCUCAACUAUUAAUAAUUGACCUAAUUAUCUUAUUUAAUACAUAUUCGAAACAUUUUGUGUAUUUUUUUUACUUUUAAAUCUCUUUUAAUAUUUAUGGAAUUUAUUUGAACAAGUUGCGAUGUUGCGCACUCGUUUAUUUUUGUACAUAUUGCGAAUCACGCCACGUGAAAUGCACCCGCGGUUUACAAUGUGUUUAUUAUUAUUAGUAUUCGAAAUUGUGGUCGAGUCACAUGAAACGCACACUCGAGUUGGGGUGUAGGUAUCAUGACUAUGCCACGAUAACCGUACCCAUAGUCAUGAUGAUUUAUUUUACGCGCCUAAAGCACAUUCCGGGUGUUUAUAAGUUGUGUAGUCCCUAAUUUGGAAAUUGUGUGUGAAAAGACCCGUGAUUAUGGAGUACUUUUAUUAAAAGAGAUUUCAUGCUCAUUCCCUUUAAAACUUUUAUUUCAUGCAUUUGACCAAGCCCAAUCUUAAAACAUGAGAACUAUUAAUUACUAAUGGGCUUUGGUCAUUCCCCACUCCCAUGAACUACAAUCAUUCAAACAAUUUCAAUAAGGCGAGGUAAAAUGGACAAUCAAGCAAAAUGCUAAAGCAGUAGACUAAUAACAAAGCUAAUAGCAAGAUAAAAAUAAAGAAAGAUAGUGUGUUUGAAAUAUUAUAAAAGCCACCUAACACUCCAUCAAUCCCAUUCACAAUAACAUCCAAAUGAAAAGGCUACUAAUCUAAAUGAAAAAACCCAUUUCCAAUUCUUUAGGUAAUAGACAACCAACUAGCAGAAUCAAUGACGACAGAAAUUGACCAACGAAGAUAACACAUAAUUUCACAUGCUCAAAACUGAAUCAUACAGAUUCCAUUGAUAGAAAGUGAAAACUACAUAGUUUAGUGGGGUGAAUAAUACCUUGAAAGCAGUAACAAGUCCUUAAAAUUGCCAAAUAAUUACUGAAAAAUGCUACAAUUUGGGAAUUCAGCUACCAGUUGACAUGGAUCAGCCACACAUCAACGAUAAACUCAGUUAGAUCAACUUAGAAACCCAAAAAUGCCGGAUGAAUAUGGGGUUUUUGAAACCACUGAUCUAGACUAAUAUUUUUAGGCUAUUUGGAGCACUUUUUUAACUGCUGUUUUUGUGUAUUUUUCAUAGCUUAAGACGUCAGAUCUCAACAAUGAACUUCAAGUGGAUAAAAUGAGUUUAUGAGUGUAUUAUGUGAGAAUGAGGGAGUGAAUGGGUGAGAUGGAGAAGGAAGCGGGUAGGGUUUUCAGAAGGGGGGCCGGUUCUGUCUCUUCUCGGCGACGGUUGGAAGGUUGAAAAAGGAGAGGAAAAGGCUCUAGUUUUUUUUAUGAGUGAGGGGGGCAUGUUCAAUUGUAGAGCCAAACAACCUUGUUUUCUU
Molecule: long non-coding RNA, 4542 nt
Filed under: Nicotiana tabacum (common tobacco)
Lineage: Eukaryota; Viridiplantae; Streptophyta; Magnoliopsida; Solanales; Solanaceae
Description: long non-coding RNA (NTAB_LNC002225)
Source: RNAcentral